Molecule: ribosomal RNA, 301 nt
Filed under: uncultured bacterium
Lineage: Bacteria
Description: partial 16S ribosomal RNA
Rfam family: Bacterial small subunit ribosomal RNA
Source: RNAcentral
CAGUCGCCGCGGUAAUACGAAGGGGGCUAGCGUUGCUCGGAAUGACUGGGCGUAAAGGGCGCGUAGGCGGAUCACGCAGUCAGAUGUGAAAUUCCUGGGCUUAACCUGGGGGCUGCAUUUGAGACGCGUGGUCUAGAGUGUGAAAGAGGGUCGUGGAAUUCCCAGUGUAGAGGUGAAAUUCGUAGAUAUUGGGAAGAACACCGGUGGCGAAGGCGGCGACCUGGUUCAUGACUGACGCUGAGGCGCGAAAGCGUGGGGAGCAAACAGGAUUAGAUACCCCGGUAGUCCCUGUCUCUUAUAC